Molecule: unclassified non-coding RNA, 231 nt
Filed under: uncultured fungus
Lineage: Eukaryota; Fungi
Description: sequence contains ITS1, 5.8S rRNA gene
Rfam family: 5.8S ribosomal RNA (bases 183-231)
Source: RNAcentral
UCUCCGUAGGUGAACCUGCGGAGGGAUCAUUACUGAGUGAGGGCUCACGCCCGACCUCCAACCCUUUGUGAACCAAACUUGUUGCUUCGGGGGCGACCCUGCCGACGACUUUGUCGCCGGGCGCCCCCGGAGGUCUUCUAAACACUGCAUCUUUGCGUCUGAGUAAACAUUAAAUGAAACAAAACUUUCAACAACGGAUCUCUUGGUUCUGGCAUCGAUGAAGAACGCAGC